Molecule: non-coding RNA, 95 nt
Organism: Aspergillus carlsbadensis
Lineage: Eukaryota; Fungi; Ascomycota; Eurotiomycetes; Eurotiales; Aspergillaceae
Source: the annotation of a GenBank genome assembly
GGCACUUUGGCGGAGUGGUUAACGAUGCCCUGCUAUUAUUUCAGAAAAGCGAGGCAUUCCCCUUGAGAGCGUGAGUUUGAAUCUCACAGGUGUCG